This 747-nucleotide ribosomal RNA is filed under the name Phlebia radiata. RNAcentral describes it as "partial 12S ribosomal RNA". It matches the Rfam family "Bacterial small subunit ribosomal RNA", at positions 386 to 933 of the family's 1533-position model. Lineage: Eukaryota; Fungi; Basidiomycota; Agaricomycetes; Polyporales; Meruliaceae. The record is from RNAcentral.
AGUGAACUAGCUAACUGAAAUCUUAAGCCGAGCUAAGCUCGUAUUGGGAUGUCGUAAGGGAAAAUAAUGAUACUACCUUACUAUAAGUGUCGCCAAAACUGGUGCCAGAAGACUCGGUAAGGCCAGAGACGCAAACGUUAAUCUACAUCAACAGGCGUAAAGGGUAAGUAGGCUGCUUAAAAAGUAUUUUCUAUUUAAAUGCCAAAUAUUUUAAUUUAAUUUUAUUUCUCUGCCCCUUUAGCGGCCCCCUGGCCUUAAAAACGCUCAGCUGGCGCAGCGCUACUUAAGGUCGCUACGUUUUUAAGGCGCAGCGGGGGCUAGGGCUAAAUAUAUCUGCUACUGUUUAGCAAUUUAGCUAACGCACGAUAAAUAUCUAGUCCACUUUUUUAAGGGGCAUCAAGAGAAAAUUAUCAUUUUAUUCUGAAAUAUUGUAAAUAAAAUAUGAAUUUAAGCUAGAAUCAAGAAGGGGUUGACCCAAAUAAUAUUUAGAGGAGGUUUAAUAUCUUUAGAUCCUAAAUGGAAUACUCAAGGCGAAAGCUUUUCAACCAAGUAAUGAUUGACGCUAAGGAACGAAGGGGAGGGCAAGAAACAGGAUCAGAUACCCUAUUACUCCUCUCAGUCAACGAUGAAUGGUAUACAUUAGUUUAUAUAAACUAUAUGAUAAAAGCUAACGCGAGUAACCAUUCCGCCUUGUAACUACGACUCAAUGUUAAAAACAAAAAAUUAGUCGGUCUCGAAGCAAACGAA